UUUUACAAAUCUACUCAAUUAAAAUGAAUAAUAAUAAAUAAAUAAAUGAAAGAAAUGAUUAUUAAUUACAAAAUAAAAGGACAAAACCUUUUUUGGAUAAAAUUUCUUUGUUUGUUUUUUAAUAGAAGUAAGAAAGUACUUUUUUUUAUUUAAUUAAAUAUUUACAAAAAUAAAAUAAGAUUGUUUUUUUCUUUUUUUUUAUAUAAUAAAAAUAAGAUUGUGAUUUUUCUUUUAUAAAUUAAACAAAGAUUUUUAAAAUAAAAGAAAAAUAAAAUAAAUAAAUAAAAGGAAAAAAGGGAGAAACAAU
RNAcentral lists this long non-coding RNA (307 nucleotides) under Lathyrus oleraceus (garden pea). Its description in RNAcentral is "Pisum sativum (pea) long non-coding RNA (PSAT_LNC003406)". The record is from RNAcentral. Lineage: Eukaryota; Viridiplantae; Streptophyta; Magnoliopsida; Fabales; Fabaceae.